This 95-nucleotide transfer RNA is filed under the name Amborella trichopoda. Its description in RNAcentral is "tRNA AMTR_s00299t00274320". Lineage: Eukaryota; Viridiplantae; Streptophyta; Magnoliopsida; Amborellales; Amborellaceae. The record is from RNAcentral.
UUGUACUAGUACAAUAAGAAGUAGUACGUACUAUUAGUACUAGUACUACGGGUAAUACUAGUAAGUACUACUAGUUCAAUUACUACUAGUACAAG